GAUGAAGAACGUAGUGAAAUGCGAUAAGUAAUGCGAAUUGCAGAAUUCAGUGAGUCAUCGAAUCUUUGAACGCACAUUGCGCCCCUUGGCAUUCCGAGGGGCAUGCCUGUCCGAGCGUCAUUGCUGCCCUCAAGCACGGCUUGUGUGUUGGGCCUCCGUCCUCCUCCCGGGGGACGGGCCCGAAAGGCAGCGGCGGCACCGCGUCCGGUCCUCGAGCGUAUGGGGCUUCGUCACCCGCUCUUGUAGGCCCGGCCGGCGCUUGCCGACACAUCAAUCUUUUUUCCAGGUUGACCUCGGAUCAGGUAGGGAUACCCGCUGAACUUAAGCAUAUCAAUAAGCGGAGGA
RNAcentral lists this unclassified non-coding RNA (345 nucleotides) under soil metagenome. RNAcentral describes it as "partial contains 5.8S ribosomal RNA, internal transcribed spacer 2, and large subunit ribosomal RNA". The stretch from base 1 to 120 matches the Rfam family "5.8S ribosomal RNA", at positions 35 to 154 of the family's 154-position model. The record is from RNAcentral.